GCCCCAGUAGCUCAGCUGGUUAGAGCGCCUCCUUGGUAAGGAGGAGGCCGCGAGUUCAAAUCUCGCCUGGGGCU
Molecule: transfer RNA, 74 nt
Filed under: Candidatus Bathyarchaeota archaeon
Lineage: Archaea; Thermoproteati; Candidatus Bathyarchaeota
Also listed under: 2 other names
Description: tRNA-Thr
Rfam family: tRNA
About the family: Transfer RNA (tRNA) molecules are approximately 80 nucleotides in length. Their secondary structure includes four short double-helical elements and three loops (D, anti-codon, and T loops).
Source: RNAcentral